UACGUAGGGUGCAAGCGUUGUCCGGAAUUAUUGGGCGUAAAGAGCUCGUAGGCGGUUUGUCGCGUCUGCUGUGAAAACUGGAGGCUCAACCUCCAGCCUGCAGUGGGUACGGGCAGACUAGAGUGCGGUAGGGGAGAUUGGAAUUCCUGGUGUAGCGGUGAAAUGCGCAGAUAUCAGGAGGAACACCGGUGGCGAAGGCGCCACUCUGGGCUAACACUGACGCUCAUGCACGAAAGCGUGGGGAGCAAACAGG
This 253-nucleotide ribosomal RNA is filed under the name uncultured bacterium. RNAcentral's name for it is "partial 16S ribosomal RNA". It matches the Rfam family "Bacterial small subunit ribosomal RNA", at positions 524 to 776 of the family's 1533-position model. The record is from RNAcentral.